Molecule: ribosomal RNA, 253 nt
Filed under: uncultured bacterium
Lineage: Bacteria
Description: partial 16S ribosomal RNA
Rfam family: Bacterial small subunit ribosomal RNA
Source: RNAcentral
UACGUAGGGGGCAAGCGUUGUCCGGAAUUAUUGGGCGUAAAGAGCUCGUAGGCGGUCUGUCGCGUCUGCUGUGAAAAUCCAGGGCUCAACCCUGGACCUGCAGUGGGUACGGGCAGACUAGAGUGCGGUAGGGGAGAUCGGAAUUCCUGGUGUAGCGGUGAAAUGCGCAGAUAUCAGGAGGAACACCGGUGGCGAAGGCGGCUCACUGGCCCGGUACUGACGCUGAGGUGCGAAAGCGUGGGGAGCAAACAGG